Molecule: long non-coding RNA, 543 nt
Organism: Paramormyrops kingsleyae
Lineage: Eukaryota; Metazoa; Chordata; Actinopteri; Osteoglossiformes; Mormyridae
Source: RefSeq, a predicted model, not a curated record
AGCAAAUUGUUUGUCCGUUAUACACGAUAUUCCGUUAUAACUGGAUUUUACUGUGUUUGGAAAUAAAGAGUGUAUAACGGCUAACGAAAGUGAGGGGGCGCGGUCAUGGCGACGCAGUGACACGGUAAUGGGUCGCUCCCUGAGCCAUUUUUAGCCCCCGAUGCUAAUGCAGUUUACUUUCUCCAGCGUGAUCGAUAAGAGGAAGAUAAAGCGCCUCCCAGCGCCUCUUGCUCAGCGGACGACACGUUUCGCCACAUUUGCCUGCCUUUCCCUCAUCUUUUUCCCUGUUACGAGAAAAAUCCAUUUGCUAAAAGCCCUCUUUUUCCCGCUACCUGUCACAAGCCGAGAGCGACUUCACAAAGAAUCAUUAUAUUUUUUCUUUCCCUCGCCAUCAUGACACCAUUAGGAGACUUCGGCACAAAUUGAGACUGAGGACGGAGUGGGCUGUGAAGGAAGAGGGCAGCCAUCGGUGAAUUCCACCUUCAGUCAGGUGGCAUCGGGGAGUGACAUGAGCGGGACGGCGCGCAGACAGACACACGCUGG